Molecule: microRNA, 20 nt
Filed under: Salmo salar (Atlantic salmon)
Lineage: Eukaryota; Metazoa; Chordata; Actinopteri; Salmoniformes; Salmonidae
Also listed under: 1 other name
Description: ssa-miR-183-3p
Gene: ssa-miR-183-3p
Source: miRBase by way of RNAcentral
UGAAUUACCAUAGGGCCAUA